Molecule: long non-coding RNA, 667 nt
Filed under: Prunus persica (peach)
Lineage: Eukaryota; Viridiplantae; Streptophyta; Magnoliopsida; Rosales; Rosaceae
Description: long non-coding RNA (PPER_LNC008051)
Source: RNAcentral
UGGUCAAUUAAUUUAAGCAAUUAAUCCUGCUAUAGCUUCUGCUAAUGACGAUGAAAGCAAUUUCUAAGCAACGAGAUAAGAAUGAUCAUCUAGUAUGCCAUGUUCGAUGGAGAGUAUUAUAUAUGAACGGAAAAAUCACACACUAUGUUAUAAAACAGAGAGUAUGGGAAAGUCGGUAGAUAUCAUAAGAUCUUGUUGACCUCAAAUUUCUCUAGCAUCAAGCAGAAGGAAGGACAUUGUCUUGGAUGCGAGCAUACCACUGUUAGUAGUAUGUAGUGCAGAGAGCCUAAUAAAAAGAUGAAUAAUUGAUAACUUGCGCCUCAAGUAACCUAACUUCGAACCAGGCCACUGUUGUCUAAGUUGGAGACAACUCAUAUUAGUACUUUCUAUGUCCUAAGAUGAAUUGGUUUGUAAUAAUAAUUUAAUGGUAAACGAAUGGAAGAUCUCCUUAUAGAAAGAUAAAUAAGAUGAAAAACAAUUAAAAUUUUGGAAGCGGAACAACUCUAUAUUUGGGUUGAGGAGGUGUCAACUUGGAUUGAACUGUUGCAGCACGAAAUCAGCAUAAUCACAACUGGGACGGUACGUCAAUUCAAAAUCACACCAAUACAGGUGAUAGAGCAAUCUUCAAAUGGUGUUCAAAUCUCUAGAAAUUGGUAUUUAGAUAUCU